ACUGCGCGCGCUCCAGCGCCCCAGAAGGCAGGGGGCAGCCCGGGGACCGGGGUCCCGGAGCCCCGUGGGAGGCGGGCAACACCUGUCGGGACCCGAGGGCGUGUCUGAGAUUGUGGCCUGAGGUGCUGCGCCUUCCGAUCCGGGGCAGCGGGCGUCCUGUAGCUGCGCCUUCCGAAUCCAGCCCAGAUUCUCCUACCAGCUGCUUGGGUCACGUUCUUCCUGUUUCCUCAGGGAUGCCUUCAAAAUGUGUGAAUAAGCUUCAAUCAGACUGCCCUUCCCAAAGAAAAUAACUAUAAAUGCUGGAAAAACUACAAAACAGCCACCUGAAGGCACUGGCGAGAGACAAAAGCAAGCAAAUUCUGGAGAAGAGUCAACACUUGGAAGAAGGGAGCUGCACUGGGUACAUGGGGAAGGAACAGUGUCUCUGCAUGAGAAUGGCCAAAGAACAAGAUACAUUUCCCCGUGGAGAGCAAUCCUAGAGAGAGGGAAGCAUGGGUCAGAAUAAGGUGUACUGGCCCCAGGGUAAUAGCAUGUAUUUCUGUUGCAUUGGUGUUUCCAAAAUAAUGCUUCGGUUCCAAGUUUCAGGAAUUGGUUGGGGGAGCAUGGGGAUCAUACAGUGAUUCAGGAGCUUCCUUGCAAGUAAGUGAGUGAGCCAAUCAAAUAAUUUAUGUUUAAAUCUUUCACUGUGUUAAAUGUUGAAAAAUAAAGCAAGUGAAUUCCAUCCUAUGGUGUACACAGCCCUUAUGAUUAUCCGAUAUAGGUCUCAGCCUGAAAUAACUCUGCAUUUUCUCAGCCACUUUGCUUAACACAGUGUGAAGUGGAUCUAGGACAAGGAUACAAAAAAAAAAUACUAUUCUUCUGAGAUGACAUAAAGAUCUGGCAGAAGGAAUCUCGAGAUUGGCAGAGGCUGCAUCUGAGAUUGCUCUGUCUUCUGCUGGUACUGGGAUAUGAACAGAAUGAAAUGUCCUGGGGAUCAUUGGGUAUCCGGGGAGAUUUCUCCAAUGUGGUACUUAGCUCAUUCCAUGAUGCCACAUACCUUUAUGCUAUCAGAUAAUACAAAUGACCUAAGGUCUAGGAGACUAAAAUCUGUUGAGGCAUGGCCAUCCUCAGCAAGAUCAAGCCCACUGGACUCUAAAGUGCAUUUGGCAUAUUGAGAUCCCAGUGCAUUUUAUACUUUUGUGCUUAUGGCAUUAACUGCAUAUUUUAGAAUAUAGCCUUGUGGAAAUUAUGCUACAUCUUGGAUAGUAAGUCAUCCACUUAUCAGAUCCAUUUAUUCCCUGCCAUUUAUUUUGCCUCAUAUUUUAUCUACUCAGGCAUUCUACAAUAUCUUAAAGACAUCCUUAGCCUGCAGGUUGUCAUUGUUGUUUUAAUAAUCAUAAUGAACCAUUACUUCCAGUGGCCUAAAUAUUUUCUUUAGUUUUAUAACUAGUACUUUAACUUCCAUCCUCUGAAAGGGGCUAUUGCUUUUCUGUCCAGCCAUGGGCUACCAAUGGACUUUACCAGUAGGUAUAAAUGGUGUACCCUUCUGCCUAUUGUUUCUGACCUUUAUCGAGGGCCACUUCAGCCAGCCUCACAGCACCAUGCUCAUCCACUGCUAUCAUGAUAUGACCUACUGUCCCUCCUAGAACCAGGCAAUAUCCCAAGGCAUGUGAAUCUAGCUGGGAGAUCAAUGAGGCUUAGUAUCCACAGAAUGAAAAGGUCAAUGAAAGGGAG
Molecule: long non-coding RNA, 1713 nt
Filed under: Homo sapiens (human)
Lineage: Eukaryota; Metazoa; Chordata; Mammalia; Primates; Hominidae
Description: non-protein coding DPP10-AS1:8
Source: RNAcentral